CGAACACCUAUAAAUCUAGGUGUUCUACAGCGGACGGUAUCGUAUUGAGGGAAAGAUCACUGAUUUAUGUAAUUGCGAAUUUGAGUAAUACAGUUUUACUUAAUUACGUUUGGUUUUCCUGCCUGAGAGCCUGCCUCUCUGAUGAGUGGGGACGCGGUCAUGAUUCGCACAGAGCUGCCGUUUCUUGCCACCCGGUCCCUCUCUGGAGCGUGAGUUUGGGUGUAUUAGUGCUGCCUUUGUGGCCCGCUGAGUGUGACAGGUGCAAUGGGCUGAGAAGUGAGGAGGUGCGCGGGUUGCAAGGGUUCUUCACGCAGAAAACUCCAGCACGUGGCUCUCAGGGAAACAAAAACACAACCGGAUCAAAGCGGGCCCGCUGACCAGCGUGCUGACAGAACAACCUCAGGCAGAGAUUCCCAUGAAGAGGGGCGCAGUGAGAGCUCUCCCCUACACCCUGCUUCACACGCAGGGUUUAACUGAGAUCAGCUGGGCCCGAAUGACAUCGCCACUGGCUCCAGCUGUAAAAAGAGGAUCGCAGAGGAAAACAAAAACUUCAAAGAGGAAGCUGGGCUGUCUCCAGAGAAUUGGUCUAGUACAAAGCCUUGUCCUCCAGGAUGGCUCAGAGGCAGAAGCCUAAUAAAAGAGAGGAGGUCUGCUUGAGAUUUCCAGGAAGAGGAGACAGACACCUCUGAAACCCUCAAAACACUCACCACCCACAUGCUUUGUUACUUGGAGAAUUCUCAGAGCACAGACCGGGAGGUGCUGAAGUUACCUGCUUCCAUCUGUGGCCUGAACUGGACUAUAAACUCCUUGAGGACAGAGGCCACACCUUAUUCAUCUUGCAUUUGGAUAUUUAGCCCAAUCUGGCCCUUAGUGACCCUUCAGUAAAUAUUUAAUGAAUGGUUGAGGCUGACGUUUUGUUAAGGAAGACUGGAAUGAAGAUUCCCUUCCUGCUGGUACAUAAAUGGGUGCGUGUAUAUAUGCAUGCAUAUGCUCACGAUAGGCUGCACCCUGUUCUAGGCAUAUUGCGUGCAUUAUCUUUGAGGCAGAGAACGCGAUUAUUACUGCUAUGAGGAGGGAUAGAUGGAGGCUUGGAGGUUAAGAGUUGUCUGUGGAUUUGCUGUGAGCUACGUGGGCCCCGCUUGAAAGCUUGCUCUUAAAAACUGUUGAACCGUCUCCUA
Long non-coding RNA from Herpailurus yagouaroundi (jaguarundi), 1178 nucleotides. RefSeq lists it as uncharacterized. NCBI's taxonomy places the organism in Eukaryota, Metazoa, Chordata, Mammalia, Carnivora, Felidae. The transcript has 3 exons. The record is from RefSeq and is a predicted model, not a curated record.